AGAAGGAUAAACCCGAACAAAAACCAAAAGAUAUAAGCAUCUUAGGCAGAAACCCUAAAACCCAAAAAACCCUAGGAGUAAAGCCUGUUAGGAGCUAACCACUGUAAACAAAACCCAAUGAGAAGGGAUUGGUGCUAGCAUUCUAUGAAGUAACUCCGCCCAGCCAAUCUCAAUAUACAGAUCUUUAUCUUCACUAGGCAACCAAUCUCUAUCUUCAGACUGCAAGAGAAGAGGCAAGAAAGAUAAAAUCAGGCGGUACCAAGUUUCUGAUAAAAUAC
This 278-nucleotide long non-coding RNA is filed under the name Glycine max (soybean). RNAcentral describes it as "long non-coding RNA (GMAX_LNC001689)". Lineage: Eukaryota; Viridiplantae; Streptophyta; Magnoliopsida; Fabales; Fabaceae. The record is from RNAcentral.